CGAGGCGUAGCGCAGGCCGGUUAGCGCACCUGCUUUGGGAGCAGGGGGCCGCAGGUUCGAAUCCUGCCGCCUCGACCC
Molecule: transfer RNA, 78 nt
Filed under: Bacteroidota bacterium
Lineage: Bacteria; Pseudomonadati; Bacteroidota
Description: Bacteroidetes bacterium tRNA-Pro
Rfam family: tRNA
About the family: Transfer RNA (tRNA) molecules are approximately 80 nucleotides in length. Their secondary structure includes four short double-helical elements and three loops (D, anti-codon, and T loops).
Source: RNAcentral